RNAcentral lists this non-coding RNA (24 nucleotides) under Arabidopsis thaliana (thale cress). The record is from RNAcentral. Lineage: Eukaryota; Viridiplantae; Streptophyta; Magnoliopsida; Brassicales; Brassicaceae.
ACUCAGUCUCGUAAUUUGUUUGGU